This 497-nucleotide ribosomal RNA is filed under the name uncultured bacterium. RNAcentral describes it as "partial 16S ribosomal RNA". It matches the Rfam family "Bacterial small subunit ribosomal RNA", at positions 28 to 507 of the family's 1533-position model. The record is from RNAcentral.
GACGAACGCUGGCGGCGUGCCUAAUACAUGCAAGUUGAGCGCUGAAGGUUGGUACUUGUACCAACUGGAUGAGCAGCGAACGGGUGAGUAACGCGUGGGGAAUCUGCCUUUGAGCGGGGGACAACAUUUGGAAACGAAUGCUAAUACCGCAUAAAAACUUUAAACACAAGUUUUAAGUUUGAAAGAUGCAAUUGCAUCACUCAAAGAUGAUCCCGCGUUGUAUUAGCUAGUUGGUGAGGUAAAGGCUCACCAAGGCGAUGAUACAUAGCCGACCUGAGAGGGUGAUCGGCCACAUUGGGACUGAGACACGGCCCAAACUCCUACGGGAGGCAGCAGUAGGGAAUCUUCGGCAAUGGACGAAAGUCUGACCGAGCAACGCCGCGUGAGCGAAGAAGGUUUUCGGAUCGGAAAACUCUGUUGGUAGAGAAGAACGUUGGUGAGAGUGGAAAGCUCAUCAAGUGACGGUAACUACCCAGAAAGGGACGGCUAACUACGUG